Paramacrobiotus metropolitanus is the source of this 1841-nucleotide RNA transcript. RefSeq lists it as uncharacterized. NCBI's taxonomy places the organism in Eukaryota, Metazoa, Tardigrada, Eutardigrada, Parachela, Macrobiotidae. The record is from RefSeq and is a predicted model, not a curated record. The transcript has 4 exons.
CUGGGUUCUAUGGCGUCACCUUCAUAUCUCGCUUGCAGGAUAAUACAUGGCUGCUGUUUACGAUUUUGUUGUCAGCCUGAGAUUUUAAGUUUUCGAACAUAAGAACUUGGGAUUGUUUUUUCCGGCAAAAUUAAGGAUAUGCAAGUCAGUACAAGCCUGUCGAAACUGAAACCAUGAUUGCCGAAGUCUGGCCCGAAGGCGAUGCUCAACGACUGUCCCAAACAGUAAAGGUCAGGGCAACUGACUUCUGUUUUACUUCUGCGUCAUUUUAUAAAAUCCAGUGGUUGACCUGUUGUCUGCAAAUCGCCGACUCCCGGAUAUCCCUGUUUCCGCUAAUCAACGACGUCUGCUGAAAGAACUCGGACUGUCGUGACGAAGAAAACAUGUGCCUGCGGCUGAAACUGAUUCCAUUGUUCCAGGACGGUACACGCAGCAAUCCGCCGAUAGACGACAUCGUCACUCGGAAAGGAACUACAUUAGUCCCUGCUCCCGUAUCAGCGGCAUAUACAGCACCCUUAAAACAAAGAUUGCCGAAAAAAUACAGCUGCUUCUGGUUGACUGCACAAGCAUUUUUUCUACGGUCCAGCACAGAUAUUUUUCUUUGGUGGGACUGAUACGCCGGAAGAACACAAACAAUACACGCAGCAUUACCAAAAGCUGAUGCAGAAAUGUGCCGCCACUGAGGAAUCGCUGCUGUACGAGCCGCAGCACCGAGACCAAACAAUGCCGAACCUUGGAAGCGCUGGUAGCUAAAGAACUGGAAAUAGUACCGCAGCGUCUAAUGGACAUCAUCAUCACAGUCUUGGCCGAGAGGCUGGAGAAACACGCAAACCGCUAUCAAAGCGCGAGCAGCUGUUCUAACGCGUUUGGAUUUUGUCACAAUGAAUAUGAAUUUCUACGGGAAAUUAGCUGAAGCGGAUGCGAUGUGGUGUCCAGAAGAAGAGUUGUGCACCAACUUGGACGGCAGCUUGAAUACCGCAGUUUCAAACGGCUGCCGCUUCGCUCGGUUGCCUUCGCCCCGAACAAGCUACCCCACCAUCGCUCUCCGUUUACGUGAAGCUCCAGCCUCCAAAGACUUCAUUCAUCCGGUAAAACCGGAAAUCUCACCCUUUGCCGCAGUGGCUACCAACAUUGAACCUACAGUUGGAGUACAGCUUAUUUAUUUGUGAGUUAUCGCCGAUUGCAGGAAACGCUACUGGGAGUACACCCUCUCAAAGGUGACGCUGACCUUCCUGUCCAAAUUCAUACGGUGCACCGAUGCUUUUUUACCGAGAAUGCGAUAGGAUUCCACCAAACGACAUUAAACGACCGCUCAUGCCGCCGCCAUCGUAGCUCGAGCACCCUCGGCGCUUGGGGAUACACCAGCGAUGUAGCGGCGGCCUCGAGCACCGUCGGCGCAUGGGGAUAUGGGCGAACUUAAUCCCGGACCAGCGCUGGACACCAGCGGCGGCAGAUUAGUUACCAGCUGGUGUUGAUCUUGCCUGUAAGAAACUGAGAAUACUACACUAGCGCAUGUGGACCUAAACGAGAUACGGCAUGCCGGACUCCGAGAGUUCCUGCACUUCUACCGCCAGAUGUAAUUAACCCGGGUUUAUUUUGCCGUGGAAGAGGAGGAAGAGCAACACAGUACAGAAAUCGCAGCAUCGCAGCAACAACAACUACUUAAACUGGAAGCGGUAGGCUUGAUGCAACUUUGUGAACGUUUUUGAAGUGGUGUGCUGGUGUGCUUGGUAUUUAUUUCAGAGACUUUUAAUUUGUUACGUAACCUACGUCAUUUAUUUUGUCUCAAGGUCGCAAAAUAUUGGCUUUUUGGUGAUAGCAAUGUCGAAUAAAUUUGGCUU